Molecule: ribosomal RNA, 374 nt
Filed under: uncultured bacterium
Lineage: Bacteria
Description: bacterial SSU rRNA
Rfam family: Bacterial small subunit ribosomal RNA
Source: RNAcentral
AGGAAGGUAGUGUAGUUAACACCUGCAUUAUUUGACGUUACCUACAGAAGAAGCACCGGCUAACUCCGUGCCAGCAGCCGCGGUAAUACGGGAGGGUGCGAGCGUUAAUACGGAAUUACGUGGGACGUAAAGCGCAUGCAGGCGGCCUGUUAAGUCAGAUGUAGAAAGGCCCGGGGACCGUUAACCGUACGGUAAUUGCUAUUUAGUAAACGUGGCGAGGCUAGAGUCUUGUAGAGGGGGGUAGGAAUUUCAGGUGUAGCGGUGAAAUGCGUAGAGAUCUGAAGGAAUACCAGUGGCGAAGGCGGCCCCCUGGACAAAGACUGACGCUCAGAUGCGAAAGCGUGGGGAGCAAACAGGAUUAGAUACCCUGGUAG